This 484-nucleotide ribosomal RNA is filed under the name uncultured beta proteobacterium. RNAcentral describes it as "bacterial SSU rRNA". It matches the Rfam family "Bacterial small subunit ribosomal RNA", at positions 9 to 488 of the family's 1533-position model. Lineage: Bacteria; Pseudomonadati; Pseudomonadota; Betaproteobacteria. The record is from RNAcentral.
GAGUUUGAUCCUGGCUCAGAUUGAACGCUGGCGGCAUGCCUUACACAUGCAAGUCGAACGGCAGCACGGGGGCAACCCUGGUGGCGAGUGGCGAACGGGUGAGUAAUACAUCGGAACGUGUCCUGUAGUGGGGGAUAGCCCGGCGAAAGCCGGAUUAAUACCGCAUACGAUCUACGGAAGAAAGCGGGGGAUCGCAAGACCUCGCGCUAUAGGGGCGGCCGAUGGCAGAUUAGCUAGUUGGUGGGGUAAAGGCCUACCAAGGCGACGAUCUGUAGCUGGUCUGAGAGGACGACCAGCCACACUGGGACUGAGACACGGCCCAGACUCCUACGGGAGGCAGCAGUGGGGAAUUUUGGACAAUGGGGGAAACCCUGAUCCAGCAAUGCCGCGUGUGUGAAGAAGGCCUUCGGGUUGUAAAGCACUUUUGUCCGGAAAGAAAACCUUUGCACUAAUACUGUGAGGGGAUGACGGUGCCGAAGAAUAA